CAAAUACUCCCUCUGUCCGGAAAUACUUGUCAUCAAAAUGGAUAAAAGGAAAUGUAUCUAGACGUAUCUUAGUUUUAGAUACAUAUAUUUUUUAUCCAUUUUGAUGACAAGUAUUUUCGGACGGAGGGAGUAGAAA
Molecule: non-coding RNA, 136 nt
Organism: Triticum aestivum (bread wheat)
Lineage: Eukaryota; Viridiplantae; Streptophyta; Magnoliopsida; Poales; Poaceae
Source: Rfam